CUCUAUGUAGAGGAAACAGAGCCAUGGACACUGGAACAAAAUGGACUACAGGACAGCACUUGUGUUUCUAACAUACUGGACAGGUGUUGUUGGUCAGACUCUGACUGAAUCUGGUCCAGCUGUGAAAAGACCAGGAGAGUCCCAUAAACUGACCUGUACAACAUCUGGGUUCACAUUUAGCAGCUAUGGCAUGAGCUGGAUCAGACAGGCUCCUGGCCAGGGGCUGCAGUGGCUGGCUUACAUUAACAGCGGUGGUAGCACUUACUACUCUGAGUCAGUUAAAGGCAGGUUCACCAUCUCCAGAGACAACAGCAGAGACCAGCUGUAUCUGCAGAUGAAAAACCUCCAGACUGAGGACACGGCUGUGUACUACUGUGCCCGAGACCACAGUGAGAGAGUCACAGGAAGGACCUGAACAAAAACUCCCCUA
This is a non-coding RNA of Periophthalmus magnuspinnatus, 430 nucleotides long. NCBI's taxonomy places the organism in Eukaryota, Metazoa, Chordata, Actinopteri, Gobiiformes, Gobiidae. The record is from the annotation of a RefSeq genome assembly.